GCGGACAUAGCUCAGUUGGGAGAGCGUCAGACUGAAGUUAACUUCAAUCAUUUAAUCUGAAGGUCGUGUGUUCAAUCCACACUGGCCGCA
This 90-nucleotide transfer RNA is filed under the name Colletotrichum phormii. RNAcentral's name for it is "tRNA-Phe". It matches the Rfam family "tRNA". From Rfam's summary of the family: Transfer RNA (tRNA) molecules are approximately 80 nucleotides in length. Their secondary structure includes four short double-helical elements and three loops (D, anti-codon, and T loops). Lineage: Eukaryota; Fungi; Ascomycota; Sordariomycetes; Glomerellales; Glomerellaceae. The record is from RNAcentral.